Centruroides sculpturatus (bark scorpion) is the source of this 1215-nucleotide long non-coding RNA. RefSeq lists it as uncharacterized. Lineage: Eukaryota; Metazoa; Arthropoda; Arachnida; Scorpiones; Buthidae. The record is from RefSeq and is a predicted model, not a curated record. The transcript has 3 exons.
GAAAAUUAAUUAAAUUCUUUUAUUAUACUUAGGUGGAAAUCAAAACAGGAAAUAUAUUUUCAAAUGCUACACCACCUUGGUUGUGGGAAGAAAAGAAAAUUGAAAGGUUGAAUAAGUUUGGUCAUACUUCACAGUUUGUGAUAGGUCCAACAGAACAUGAUUUACUAAAUCACUUGGCCAAAGAAAAAAAGAAGCAUCUUAAUCCUAAUAGAGUUGGAGUAAAUUUUGAUCAUAAUGCUAAAACUUCAGCCAGUUGGUUACCUUCAUUUGGACGUGUAUGGAAUAAUAGCCGAAGAUUGCAAUCAAGAUAUCAAUAUAGAAAAGAAGUAUUAAAUAGAGUGAAAAGACGUUAUCAGAAAAAAAGACAUCUCGAUAAAGUAAAAUAAAAACUAUUUCAUGUCACAAAUUUAGAAUCUAAACUGUUUAUAUCAUAUUGAUAUAAACAAUUACUUUAUAAAAAAUUACAUAAUAUGAAUUACUUUAUAAAAAAAAGAUGAAAAUAAAAACAAGUUUACAAAAAUACCAAUUUAUUGGUUGAUCUGUUUACCAAACAAAUUAACACAUUUUAAAAUGACAAUAUAAAUACAUUCAAUAUCAUAAUUAUCACAAUUCUAAUCAAAUUAGACAUAUUUCAAAGUGGUAUUUAUCAAAUUUAGACACAUUUGUCAAAGUGUAGAACAAAAUGUUUUCUCAAAGUACCAAAUACAUAUUCAAUCAUUAUAUAUAUAUAUAGGCUAUACAUUAUCACAUGUUAAUUUUAGUUAUGAAAACUUAUUUCAGAAUUUCUACAAAAACUUAAAUUGUUUCUUUGAUGCUAAAAUAAUAAUAAAUUUUCAUAACAGAAAUAUUUCUUUAUUCAUAUAACACCAAAUAUUGAUUUCAGUCUUCUCACUAUGACUGUACCUGACAACAAUUAGUGUGCUAUUAACAUUUUACAAGACAUUUUUACAAUCAAUUUUUUUUUUGUUUUUUAAUCAACAGUUCCAAUAAUUUUUUUUAUUCUAAAACAACAAUAUAGUGCAAAUUAUUUUUUAACACUGUAUUACUAUUAUUUAUUAAUCUGUACACUAACACCACUAAAUUAACAAACACUUUUUAAACUUCCAUAUAUUUUUGAUGAUUUUCACUCUGCAUUUGUGGUGGAAAUUUGCAUGGUACUAUUCAAUAUAACUGCAUAAUUUUUAUUUCUAAUAUAAUAAUAAAAUGAAAUGAAUU